RNAcentral lists this ribosomal RNA (440 nucleotides) under uncultured bacterium. RNAcentral describes it as "partial 16S ribosomal RNA". It matches the Rfam family "Bacterial small subunit ribosomal RNA", at positions 338 to 795 of the family's 1533-position model. The record is from RNAcentral.
CCUACGGGAGGCAGCAGUGGGGAAUAUUGCACAAUGGGGGAAACCCUGAUGCAGCGACGCCGCGUGAGUGAAGAAGUAUCUCGGUACGUAAAGCCCUAUCAGCAGGGAAGAAAAUGACGGUACCUGACUAAGAAGCCCCGGCUAACUACGUGCCAGCAGCCGCGGUAAUACGUAGGGGGCAAGCGUUAUUCGGAUUUACUGGGUGUAAAGGGAGCGUAGACGGGGGUACAAGUCUGGAGUGAAAACCCGGGGCUUAACCCCGGAACUGCUUUGGAAACUGGGGGGCUGGAGUGGAGGAGGGGUAGGCGGAAUGCGUGGUGUAGCGGUGAAAUGCGUAGAUAUUAGGAAGAACCCCGGUGGCGAAGGCGGCUUUCUGGACUGUUACUGACGUUGAGGCACGAAAGCGUGGGGAGCGAACAGGAUUAGAUACCCUAGUAGUC